CUAUUUUAGAAGACAAGUGCCACGCGCGCAAUGAGUUGUGGGAUAUCGCGUAUCAAGUGUCGAGUGUGAUUUGCAAAUUUUUGAUUUUUUCGUUUGGAACUGAUUUCGCUCAAGAAAAGCUAUAUUCCGCCCAAGAAAAGGUAUAAAUGGUAUUGGAUAAGUGACUGUAAGUCUUGCUAAAGGCUUAUUGAUCUCAGGUAUGUAUUAUUACUCUUUAUAUCAUAUAAUUAUAACGUCCAUCGACCCUUUUAUUUCAUUUUAUCUUGUGGCUGUACUAGCCUGACUGAACAUGUGGCUGCUAAAAUUUGAAUUUGCGCGCGCGAGAUUUUAUAUAUUGAAAUUGUUUCAUUUCAAUGCUGCCAAAUAUUAGUUAAAACCAACAAUUCAAAUUUUGAAUAAGCACAUUAUAUAGUGUAUUAUUUGAAACAAUAUGUGAAAUGUGAACAUGAAUGUAAAUAUGUGUUUGCUACAAAAUGGCUUGCAAGCCUAUUCAUACCAAAACAUGAGAAUUAUUUGAGAGUAUUAAUUAAAUUAUGUUCUUUUAAUCACCUCUCCCCUGGAAUGCCUGGAUUACCAAGGUCUUUCAAGUCAUUGAGUGCCAGCUCUCUCCCCUUGACAAGUAAAAUCACCUAGGCAUUAAUUCUGCCUAGGGUUACUGGCCGGGUUAGACAGAGUAAAAUUAGUGGUGUUUUCACUACAAUUAAACCUUGACCUAGCCUUGGCCAAGCCAAGGUACAUUAAAUGUGGGAUGUUUACACCAUUACACUAUUUUUUUCAGACAGGCCCGCUUUGGCCAAGAAUUUUGUUAUUAAUUUUGUGUAUUUUUAUGUGUUGUCAUGUUGUCUGCUGGUUGUCUGCUAAUCUCUCACUGUGGACAGAGGCACCGGGGAAUCGAUAAUUGGGGGGGGGAGAUAUUCAUAUAUUCGUGUUCUGCCCAAUUAAUUACACGCCCCCCGUGGAAAUCAGCUACGGUUGACGGGGUCAGCAUGGAUAAAUAAAGUUCUACUACUACUACUGCUAUUAUCGAUUCUCCGGCGCCUCUGACUGUGGACACACAUUGCCAUAAAAAUAAGGCCCCGGCCAGGGCCUAAAGUGUUUACAUUUACACAAGCUUAGGCCAGGUCUGUGUAGUGAGUCCAGAUUUCCUGGCCUAGGUCAGGUCAAGGCUAGGCCAUUUCCACAAGCCUAGGCUUAGGCCAAGUCGGUUGUAGUGAGCCCAGAUUUCCUGGCCUAGGUCAGGACAAGGCUAGGCCAAAGUCUGUUUACACUGUCAAAAUGUUGGCCAAGGCUGGUAGUGUAAACAAGACUAUUGAAUGCAUCAAGGCACAUUACGACUAAAUGGUUAGUGUUUCCCACAAUAUGGUAAAAAAGUAUAUACUUUUGCUAGCUUGAGCUUGAAGGAUCUUCCAAGCUAAACCCUUCUAGAGUAUACCCUGUAUAUAUGUGCCUUUUUAUAUGAUAAUGGCACGAAUGGACAGUAGGUUAUAAUCCAGGAUGGUGUGUUUAAUAUAGACACAAUACACCUCACCUGGCAGGGAUGAUAGAGUGCUUAUAUUCAUGAGAGUUUCUUGUCCUGGCAGGUGGGAUCCUGUCUAGGCCAGAUAGAAGUAGAAUAAUUCACUAAACAGUUGAUACAGUUCAUAUUGCAAGCUGGGUCAUGCCGACGGGAUCAUAAUAAUUACAAAGUGGCUACAUUAUGAUGCUUAUGAUGUUACUCUGAGUGCAUAUCCACACCGGGCAAGCUUGAAAAAUAUGCCUGACCACGGUGGGAAUCGAACCUACAACCUUUGGAAUACUAGCCUGGCAAUACUCUGCCAACUGAGCUAAGCGGUCAGAUCGGUUCGAAUAUGUGAUAUUUCGGAACAGAAUCUAGUUCCUUCGAUAUCAAUGUAAUCGAAGGAACUAGAAAAAUCAUUACUGAUUAUUAGAUUACAUUGAUAUUGGAGGAACUAGAUUCUGUUCCGAAAUAUCACAUACUGUAUUUGAAUCAAUCUGUCCGCGUAGGUCAGUUGGCAGAGCAUUGGGCUAGUAUUCCAAAGGUCAUAGGUUCGAUUCCCACCAUGGUCAGGCAUAUUUUUUAAUUACGCUUGCCCAGUGUGGAUAUAUACUCAGCGUAACAUCACAAGCAUCAUAUUCCUGAGUACAUUAAACCAACACAGAAAAAUCAUUACUGGCUACAGUAUAUCUACAGGUCCUUAAACAGAUUUUGCCAGGCUAUAUUUACAGGCUUACAGCACUCUUACGUACUAAACCAGAACUAUAAAAUUUAUUAUUAAUGAAGGAUUUCAGCGAGCUCAAAAAUAGAUCAGAAGCUUAGGCAGAUGGCUGCUGUGCUGUAGUCUGUGGUUCAAACCCGAGUUGGGACAGGUUUUUUUCAACUUACUGUAACUAAAAAUGUUUAACUUUUUUUCUGAUUAGUUUUAUUUUGGGGGGUAGAGGUUAGGGUUAGUUUUGUUUAAUUUGUCUUUAACAAUAAAUACAACCUGUGUGGAGACUAAGAAUGAGAGUGCCAUAAAUAUACCUUGGUGAAGUUUGUUUACAGGCUUGAAGAUAUAGCCACUUUGUAAUAAUUAUUUACAAAAGCAAUUUAAUUUUUAAAUGGAUCAAAUGAUUGGAUAAUUACUGCAGACUUUAUAAAAACAGUCUAAGCUUACAACGGCAUAAAACUAGUAUUCUUUUUACAUGUGCAUCCGAAGCUAGAUUGAAUUAACUUAUAAAUAACUAUUAAUUACAAGAGUAUGCACCAGCAUACUUGAUGAUCUACUUAGCCUUGAGAGUAAAAUGGUCUGGCAUUAGACAGAGUACAAUAAUCUGGCAUUUAAAAGACAGUAAAAUAAGGAAGUAGGACACACAAGGGUACAAUACAACUUAAUGGGUUCACUAGACACAUGGCCAUAUUAACCCAACAAAACAGGAAUACCCUGUACUUCUCAAGAAGUUUGGCAGGUCAUUAAGAUGGGGAGUUAACUGGAUAUUAUACUAGGCCGGACAUGGCAUAAGCUGCAUUGUGCCACAACUUUAUUCUUUUACUGUGUCUGAUGGGUUGUUCCAGAAAAGAUCCACUCUCCCCUGGGCACAGAGGAAAUUUCAACCGUCCGGAGGGGAGGCGAGGGGAGAAAAAAUUGUUUCUGAAGUGUAUAAGGACAUUUGAAUUUCGAAGGGGAUAGGGGGUUAACUUCCAAUUUCCUUCAUGGGGGAGGUUACAUGUACUGUAGGUAUUGAUGUUCGCUGGAAUGACCCAUUGUCAGAUGAUUUUACUUGUCAGUGAUAUCACUCAGUGGGUCACUGAAACAAGUAGCACUCAUCUCCAAUAUAACUAAGGUUAAAUCAUAUAAUCUUAUGAAUCUAAUGAAUGUUUCUGGAACGAGCCAAUAGCAUAUUAAAUCACAAAUGCCAACAACCAGUAGCAGAUACCUCAAAAUAUUGGGGUGCUGUUGAGAUGUCUGUUAACAAAUCCUAUCUAGUGCAUAUUUCUUUUGUUAACCCAUUCACUGGCAAUAUGCUCUACUUUAUAUUACUCUGUCUAAUGGCAGGAAAUUUUACAGUUUUACUUGUUGAGAAGAUAGCCUUGCAGCAGUUUCCAAUUUGCCAUGUAUCGCCCACACAGAGAAUACAUUACUGGGGACGAGUCAGGGUAAAAGCCAUAUGAACCAAGGGUUAUCAAUUAUGAUAAUACUAGAAACAACGUCAACCAAAGGUUAGCUUGUGCUACUAACUACAUUUAUUUAGGUCUUCCCAUUCGUAAUAAGGUGCAAAGUUUAUAGGUUGGAUAGGAGGAAAUUGCUCAUAUUGCUGCAUGUGAACUGUGAACUUGUGCUAUAUACUGUAAUGUUAACUGACUGUGUAGUUCCAGUACCGGUACAUGAAAUACAUUAUGUACAGCUAAUGAUAGUCUUGUAUUUCCUUUCUUGUAGCUCAUGUGACUAAAUGUUUUGCGGGAGCAACAGCCUCAUCAGUGAAAGCUGCCAUGGCCCAAAAGUGCAAAGACAAAAGAAAUGCUGAUACGAAAAGAAGAAAAAUUGCAAAAGACAUUUGAACUGCUAAGUUUUUUCCUUAUUAUAAAUUAUUUUGUAUGGUAGCUAAACAUUUGUAGCAAUUAACUGUAUAAAUAAAUUAUUUAAACUUCCU
This 4128-nucleotide long non-coding RNA is filed under the name Paramuricea clavata. The stretch from base 1995 to 2067 matches the Rfam family "tRNA". Lineage: Eukaryota; Metazoa; Cnidaria; Anthozoa; Malacalcyonacea; Plexauridae. The record is from RNAcentral.